RNAcentral lists this ribosomal RNA (429 nucleotides) under Chloroflexota bacterium. RNAcentral describes it as "Chloroflexi bacterium partial 16S ribosomal RNA". It matches the Rfam family "Bacterial small subunit ribosomal RNA", at positions 355 to 776 of the family's 1533-position model. The record is from RNAcentral. Lineage: Bacteria; Bacillati; Chloroflexota.
UGGGGAAUAUUGCACAAUGGGCGCAAGCCUGAUGCAGCCAUGCCGCGUGUAUGAAGAAGGCCUUCGGGUUGUAAAGUACUUUCAGCGGGGAGGAAGGGAGUAAAGUUAAUACCUUUGCUCAUUGACGUUACCCGCAGAAGAAGCACCGGCUAACUCCGUGCCAGCAGCCGCGGUAAUACGGAGGGUGCAAGCGUUAAUCGGAAUUACUGGGCGUAAAGCGCACGCAGGCGGUCUGUCAAGUCGGAUGUGAAAUCCCCGGGCUUAACCUGGGAACUGCAUUCGAAACUGGCAGGCUAGAGUCUUGUAGAGGGGGGUAGAAUUCCAGGUGUAGCGGUGAAAUGCGUAGAGAUCUGGAGGAAUACCGGUGGCGAAGGCGGCCCCCUGGACGAAGACUGACGCUCAGGUGCGAAAGCGUGGGGAGCAAACAGG